This 843-nucleotide ribosomal RNA is filed under the name Shigella sonnei. RNAcentral describes it as "partial 23S ribosomal RNA". It matches the Rfam family "Bacterial large subunit ribosomal RNA", at positions 343 to 1190 of the family's 2925-position model. Lineage: Bacteria; Pseudomonadati; Pseudomonadota; Gammaproteobacteria; Enterobacterales; Enterobacteriaceae. The record is from RNAcentral.
UGGAAAGGCGUGCGAUACAGGGUGACAGCCCCGUACACAAAAAUGCACAUAUUGUGAGCUUGAUGAGUAGGGCGGGACACGUGGUAUCCUGUCUGAAUAUGGGGGGACCAUCCUCCAAGGCUAAAUACUCCUGACUGACCGAUAGUGAACCAGUACCGUGAGGGAAAGGCGAAAAGAACCCCGGCGAGGGGAGUGAAAAAGAACCUGAAACCGUGUACGUACAAGCAGUGGGAGCACGCUUAGGCGUGUGACUGCGUACCUUUUGUAUAAUGGGUCAGCGACUUAUAUUCUGUAGCAAGGUUAACCGAAUAGGGGAGCCGAAGGGAAACCGAGUCUUAACUGGGCGUUAAGUUGCAGGGUAUAGACCCGAAACCCGGUGAUCUAGCCAUGGGCAGGUUGAAGGUUGGGUAACACUAACUGGAGGACCGAACCGACUAAUGUUGAAAAAUUAGCGGAUGACUUGUGGCUGGGGGUGAAAGGCCAAUCAAACCGGGAGAUAGCUGGUUCUCCCCGAAAGCUAUUUAGGUAGCGCCUCGUGAAUUCAUCUCCGGGGGUAGAGCACUGUUUCGGCAAGGGGGUCAUCCCGACUUACCAACCCGAUGCAAACUGCGAAUACCGGAGAAUGUUAUCACGGGAGACACACGGCGGGUGCUAACGUCCGUCGUGAAGAGGGAAACAACCCAGACCGCCAGCUAAGGUCCCAAAGUCAUGGUUAAGUGGGAAACGAUGUGGGAAGGCCCAGACAGCCAGGAUGUUGGCUUAGAAGCAGCCAUCAUUUAAAGAAAGCGUAAUAGCUCACUGGUCGAGUCGGCCUGCGCGGAAGAUGUAACGGGGCUAAACCAU